UCGAGAAUUUUUCUCAAUGGGCGAAAGCCUGAAGGAGCGACGCCGCGUGGGGGAUGAAUGGCUUCGGCCCGUAAACCCCUGUCAUUCGCGAACAAUGCCUGCGGCUUAAUACGUUGCAGGUUGAUAGUAGCGGAAGAGGAAGGGACGGCUAACUCUGUGCCAGCAGCCGCGGUAAUACAGAGGUCCCAAGCGUUGUUCGGAUUUACUGGGCGUAAAGGGUGCGUAGGCGGUCGGAUAAGUCUGAUGUGAAAUCUCCGGGCUUAACCCGGAAAUGGCAUUGGAUACUAUUCGGCUGGAGGGUUGGAGGGGGGACUGGAAUACUUGGUGUAGCAGUGAAAUGCGUAGAUAUCAAGUGGAACACCAGUGGCGAAGGCGAGUCCCUGGACAACUCCUGACGCUGAGGCACGAAAGCUAGGGGAGCAAACAGGAUUAGAUACCCCCGUAGUCC
Molecule: ribosomal RNA, 448 nt
Filed under: uncultured bacterium
Lineage: Bacteria
Description: bacterial SSU rRNA
Rfam family: Bacterial small subunit ribosomal RNA
Source: RNAcentral